UAAAAAUGAAAAGUAAAAAUAGAGAAUAGAAGGAGUAAUUUCCCCCCACAAAAGGUCCCUCAAUCUCUUGUCUACUUGUCUCUCUGUGUCAAUGAACAGCAAAGAAAGCGAAGUUUUAGAACUGUGCGGUGUUUUUUCCCCUCAGGCAACACCGUGACUGCUAAUUAGGAGCACUUUCCUUCACCUAUGGAAUGCUGUUUGCUGAGUUGUUGGUUUUUCCCCUUCUUCUUUGUAUUUGCCUUAUUGCUUGUUUAGGUGAGCACAUGCUGGAAGUCAAGUCUUCUUGCUAACUGUCACUCACAGGUAAGGGUGAUGUAUAUUCCCAGGAAGGUCCUGGGAAGCAGGGAAAGUGAGCUGAAGAAGUUCUGUUGACAACGCCGAGAUAAGAGGCAGCGUCGGAGAAACGAAUGGGUCUGCGGACUUCGAUGAACCAGUUAUUAUUCGGGCCCAAAUGCCAAAGGCUGUUUAGCUCAGGGAUCUCAAACUGCUCCUCCAGAUACUCCUGCAUUCCACACUUGGUCAUUUUCUCCUCGCUGAGAAUGCUGGGAGUUGCAAUCCAGGGACAUCUGAAUGGACGUAGUUGGAGACCUCUGGUUGAGUCCAUGGAAGAUGUCUUCUCUACUGGCAGCAAGCAGCUACAGUUUACGACAUGCCCACCACAGAAGGACACUUGUGUCCAUGCUAAACUGUUACAAGCUGAACACAGCCUGAACUUUUUUGGCAAGGCAUCACCAAGGCCAAAAUAUGGCUUUAGGCAUGCCAAGUUUGAUGAGAAAGCAGCUGACAACCCCGAGGGCCACUGCACAGGUGUAUGAAGUAUCAACAGCUGGAAGCAGCAAGCUGAAUUAAUGAUGGCAUACUGAAUGAGGCCAGUGGCUGGAAGCCUAAAUUUACCAGGUUUAACAGGUCUGGCUGUUUCAGAUGAUGGAAAAGCAAGUUGGAAGACGGCUUGUUGAAGAAUCAUGUUGUCCCAUCCCACAGACACAGACCAUAUCAAUAUUUCAUGCAGUCACUCACAGGUCUGGUUCCAUCCUAUAUUACAGACCUUUGACAUAAUUUUCAAUGCGUUUUUCCUAUAAAACAUGCAUUGUAUAAAGUGUUUUAAGCAGUUUCACACACUUGAAAGAUAUAUACUUGAUUCUAACAUUCUAAUAUAUGAUGUCCAUCUUCAGAGGAUCUGACUUAUGGAAGAGUCAAAAACAACUAAAGUCAGAUUCUCUGAAGACAGACACCGUAGCUAUGUCCGAAAGCUUAGGUUCUCAGAAGAACUAUGCAACACGGCACAACAGCCCCAAAACUACUACAAAUGAGACUGAAACUGGCCAUAAAAGCCUACAUUCUACCAACAUUAGUAUGGAAUGUUAUGUGACUCUAACCAGGGUGACCCUUUUUCUUUUCAUUCCUUGAAAGCUGCUACACCAUCCUUUGUUAGCUCUGAAGAGCAAUAUAUAUAAAAAAUUAAAAUCAAU
RNAcentral lists this long non-coding RNA (1469 nucleotides) under Salvator merianae (Argentine black and white tegu). RNAcentral describes it as "lncRNA (ENSSMRG00000014519.1)". Lineage: Eukaryota; Metazoa; Chordata; Lepidosauria; Squamata; Teiidae. The record is from RNAcentral.